AAAUUGAAGAGUUUGAUCAUGGCUCAGAUUGAACGCUGGCGGCAGGCCUAACACAUGCAAGUCGAACGGUAACAGGAAGCAGCUUGCUGCUUCGCUGACGAGUGGCGGACGGGUGAGUAAUGUCUGGGAAGCUGCCUGAUGGAGGGGGAUAACUACUGGAAACGGUGGCUAAUACCGCAUAACGUCGCAAGACCAAAGAGGGGGACCUUCGGGCCUCUUGCCAUCAGAUGUGCCCAGAUGGGAUUAGCUAGUUGGUGAGGUAACGGCUCACCAAGGCGACGAUCCCUAGCUGGUCUGAGAGGAUGACCAGCCACACUGGAACUGAGACACGGUCCAGACUCCUACGGGAGGCAGCAGUGGGGAAUAUUGCACAAUGGGCGCAAGCCUGAUGCAGCCAUGCCGCGUGUAUGAAGAAGGCCUUCGGGUUGUAAAGUACUUUCAGCGGGGAGGAAGGUGUUGUGGUUAAUAACCGCAGCAAUUGACGUUACCCGCAGAAGAAGCACCGGCUAACUCCGUGCCAGCAGCCGCGGUAAUACGGAGGGUGCAAGCGUUAAUCGGAAUUACUGGGCGUAAAGCGCACGCAGGCGGUCUGUCAAGUCGGAUGUGAAAUCCCCGGGCUCAACCUGGGAACUGCAUUCGAAACUGGCAGGCUUGAGUCUUGUAGAGGGGGGUAGAAUUCCAGGUGUAGCGGUGAAAUGCGUAGAGAUCUGGAGGAAUACCGGUGGCGAAGGCGGCCCCCUGGACAAAGACUGACGCUCAGGUGCGAAAGCGUGGGGAGCAAACAGGAUUAGAUACCCUGGUAGUCCACGCCGUAAACGAUGUCUACUUGGAGGUUGUGCCCUUGAGGCGUGGCUUCCGGAGCUAACGCGUUAAGUAGACCGCCUGGGGAGUACGGCCGCAAGGUUAAAACUCAAAUGAAUUGACGGGGGCCCGCACAAGCGGUGGAGCAUGUGGUUUAAUUCGAUGCAACGCGAAGAACCUUACCUGGUCUUGACAUCCACAGAACUUUCCAGAGAUGGAUUGGUGCCUUCGGGAACUGUGAGACAGGUGCUGCAUGGCUGUCGUCAGCUCGUGUUGUGAAAUGUUGGGUUAAGUCCCGCAACGAGCGCAACCCUUAUCCUUUGUUGCCAGCGAUUAGGUCGGGAACUCAAAGGAGACUGCCAGUGAUAAACUGGAGGAAGGUGGGGAUGACGUCAAGUCAUCAUGGCCCUUACGACCAGGGCUACACACGUGCUACAAUGGCGCAUACAAAGAGAAGCGACCUCGCGAGAGCAAGCGGACCUCAUAAAGUGCGUCGUAGUCCGGAUUGGAGUCUGCAACUCGACUCCAUGAAGUCGGAAUCGCUAGUAAUCGUGGAUCAGAAUGCCACGGUGAAUACGUUCCCGGGCCUUGUACACACCGCCCGUCACACCAUGGGAGUGGGUUGCAAAAGAAGUAGGUAGCUUAACCUUCGGGAGGGCGCUUACCACUUUGUGAUUCAUGACUGGGGUGAAGUCGUAACAAGGUAACCGUAGGGGAACCUGCGGUUGGAUCACCUCCUUACCUUAAAGAAGC
Molecule: ribosomal RNA, 1554 nt
Filed under: Salmonella enterica
Lineage: Bacteria; Pseudomonadati; Pseudomonadota; Gammaproteobacteria; Enterobacterales; Enterobacteriaceae
Also listed under: 1 other name
Description: bacterial SSU rRNA
Rfam family: Bacterial small subunit ribosomal RNA
Source: RNAcentral